GGAUGAACGCUGGCGGCGUGCCUAAUACAUGCAAGUCGAGCGAACAGACGAGGAGCUUGCUCCUCUGACGUUAGCGGCGGACGGGUGAGUAACACGUGGAUAACCUACCUAUAAGACUGGGAUAACUUCGGGAAGCCGGAGCUAAUACCGGAUAAUAUAUUGAACCGCAUGGUUCAAUAGUGAAAGACGGUUUUGCUGUCACUUAUAGAUGGAUCCGCGCCGCAUUAGCUAGUUGGUAAGGUAACGGCUUACCAAGGCAACGCUGCGUAGCCGACCUGAGAGGGUGAUCGGCCACACUGGAACUGAGACACGGUCCAGACUCCUACGGGAGGCAGCAGUAGGGAAUCUUCCGCAAUGGGCGAAAGCCUGACGGAGCAACGCCGCGUGAGUGAUGAAGGUCUUCGGAUCGUAAAACUCUGUUAUUAGGGAAGAACAAAUGUGUAAGUAACUAUGCACGUCUUGACGGUACCUAAUCAGAAAGCCACGGCUAACUACGUG
RNAcentral lists this ribosomal RNA (498 nucleotides) under uncultured bacterium. RNAcentral describes it as "partial 16S ribosomal RNA". It matches the Rfam family "Bacterial small subunit ribosomal RNA", at positions 27 to 507 of the family's 1533-position model. The record is from RNAcentral.